CCUACGGGUGGCAGCAGUGGGGAAUAUUGGGCAAUGGGCGAAAGCCUGACCCAGCAACGCCGCGUGAAGGAAGAAGGCUUUCGGGUUGUAAAGUUCUAUUGACAGGGAAGAGAAGAAGACGGUACCUGUCGAAUAAGCCACGGCUAAAUACGUGCCAGCAGCCGCGGUAAUAUGGAGGGGGCAAGCGAUGUCCGGAUUUAGGGGGUGUAAAGGGCGUGUAGGCGGGCUGACAAGUCCGGUGUGAAAUCCGGGGGCUCAACCCCCGAACUGCUUUUGAAACUGUUGGUCUUGAGUAUCGGAGAGGCAGGUGGAAUUCCUAGUGUAGCGGUGAAAUGCGUAGAUAUUAGGAGGAACACCAGUGGCGAAGGCGGCCUGCUGGACUACAACUGACGGUGAGGCGCGAAAGCGUGGGGAGCAAACAGGAUUAGAUACCCUAGUAGUC
Molecule: ribosomal RNA, 442 nt
Filed under: uncultured bacterium
Lineage: Bacteria
Description: partial 16S ribosomal RNA
Rfam family: Bacterial small subunit ribosomal RNA
Source: RNAcentral